UGCAAGUCGAACGGCAGCACGGGAGCAAUCCUGGUGGCGAGUGGCGAACGGGUGAGUAAUAUAUCGGAACGUGCCCAAUCGUGGGGGAUAACGCAGCGAAAGCUGUGCUAAUACCGCAUACGAUCUAUGGAUGAAAGCGGGGGAUCGCAAGACCUCGCGCGAGUGGAGCGGCCGAUAUCAGAUUAGCUAGUUGGUGAGGUAAAGGCUCACCAAGGCGACGAUCUGUAGCUGGUCUGAGAGGACGACCAGCCACACUGGAACUGAGACACGGUCCAGACUCCUACGGGAGGCAGCAGUGGGGAAUUUUGGACAAUGGGCGCAAGCCUGAUCCAGCAAUGCCGCGUGCAGGAUGAAGGCCUUCGGGUUGUAAACUGCUUUUGUACGGAGCGAAACGGUUCUCUCUAAUAAAGGGGGCUAAUGACGGUACCGUAAGAAUAAGCACCGGCUAACUACGUGCCAGCAGCCGCGGUAAUACGUAGGGUGCGAGCGUUAAUCGGAAUUACUGGGCGUAAAGCGUGCGCAGGCGGUUUUGUAAGACAGAUGUGAAAUCCCCGGGCUCAACCUGGGACCUGCAUUUGUGACUGCAAAGCUAGAGUACGGUAGAGGGGGAUGGAAUUCCGCGUGUAGCAGUGAAAUGCGUAGAUAUGCGGAGGAACACCGAUGGCGAAGGCAAUCCCCUGGACCUGUACUGACGCUCAUGCACGAAAGCGUGGGGAGCAAACAGGAUUAGAUACCCUGGUAGUCCACGCCCUAAACGAUGUCAACUGGUUGUUGGGUCUU
Molecule: ribosomal RNA, 780 nt
Filed under: uncultured bacterium
Lineage: Bacteria
Description: bacterial SSU rRNA
Rfam family: Bacterial small subunit ribosomal RNA
Source: RNAcentral